This 535-nucleotide ribosomal RNA is filed under the name Bifidobacterium longum subsp. infantis. Its description in RNAcentral is "bacterial SSU rRNA". It matches the Rfam family "Bacterial small subunit ribosomal RNA", at positions 158 to 708 of the family's 1533-position model. Lineage: Bacteria; Bacillati; Actinomycetota; Actinomycetes; Bifidobacteriales; Bifidobacteriaceae. The record is from RNAcentral.
GGGUGGUAAUGCCGGAUGUUCCAGUUGAUCGCAUGGUCUUCUGGGAAAGCUUUCGCGGUAUGGGAUGGGGUCGCGUCCUAUCAGCUUGACGGCGGGGUAACGGCCCACCGUGGCUUCGACGGGUAGCCGGCCUGAGAGGGCGACCGGCCACAUUGGGACUGAGAUACGGCCCAGACUCCUACGGGAGGCAGCAGUGGGGAAUAUUGCACAAUGGGCGCAAGCCUGAUGCAGCGACGCCGCGUGAGGGAUGGAGGCCUUCGGGUUGUAAACCUCUUUUAUCGGGGAGCAAGCGUGAGUGAGUUUACCCGUUGAAUAAGCACCGGCUAACUACGUGCCAGCAGCCGCGGUAAUACGUAGGGUGCAAGCGUUAUCCGGAAUUAUUGGGCGUAAAGGGCUCGUAGGCGGUUCGUCGCGUCCGGUGUGAAAGUCCAUCGCUUAACGGUGGAUCCGCGCCGGGUACGGGCGGGCUUGAGUGCGGUAGGGGAGACUGGAAUUCCCGGUGUAACGGUGGAAUGUGUAGAUAUCGGAAAGAACA